AUGAGGUGUACCAUGCAAAGCCGGCACCUCCAGUUGAGGCAUCUAGCAGCGUUGCUUAAUAUUCAACAACACCCCCCAGCGGACGUCGCCAAAGGGAAAACGAUUAUGUCCUACGGAGGAAGACGAGGAAACAGCCCACAUGAACUGGCGGCCUCGCAAGGGCGCCCUCCGGAGCGAUGGAGCAAACCAUCGGUGGGAUGGGUCAAGCUGAACAUCGACGGGUCAUGGAGUGGUGAGGAUGGCACAGGAGGUGCCGGAAUGGUGCUCCGGGAUCACACUGGAUCCAUUAUCUUCAUGUCCUGCAGGUUUAUCCAAAGGUGUGCGAAUGCCCUAGAGGCUGAAGCUGCAGCUCUCAUGGAGGGGGUUGACCUCGCUCUUGCACGGAGUUCAGAGAACCUUGUUGUGGAGUCGGACUGCGCUAUGCUAGUUCGCAUGUUUAAGGAACCUGAGGCGAACAGAUCGCAGAUAGCAGCAAUGCUUGCGAGUACUAAGAAGCAGCUGGCCUCAUGA
Molecule: ribosomal RNA, 510 nt
Filed under: Triticum aestivum (bread wheat)
Lineage: Eukaryota; Viridiplantae; Streptophyta; Magnoliopsida; Poales; Poaceae
Description: partial small subunit ribosomal RNA
Source: RNAcentral